CAAUUCAAGUAUUUUGUCACCUUUAUUGAUGAAAAGUCCAAAUACACCUGGCUAACACUUUUACCUUCCAAAGGCCGUGUUUUUGAGUCUUUCUCAAAUUUUUACAGCUUCAUCUCAACUCAAUACAAUGCUAAAAUCAAGAGCUUGCAGACUGACAAUGGAAGUGAAUACACCAGCAAUGAGUUUAAAGCCUUCACAUCUAUGCAUGGGAUUGUACACCAGAUAUCUUGUCCUUACACUCCCCAACAAAAUAGUGUAGCUAAGCACAAGAACCGUCACCUUAUGGAAGUUGCAAGAACUAUUGUGUUCCACAAAAAUGUUCCAAAACACUUCUGGGGUGAUGCUGUUUCAGUCGCCUGCUAUCUAAUCAACCAACUUCCAACCAAAUGUCGUAAGAACAUAUUACCUUAUGAGGUACUCAACAAAACUAAACCACCUUUAGAUUUUCUAAAAGUAUUUGAGUGUGUUUUCUAUGUCCAUGUUCCAGAUGACCAAAGGAACAAGUUUCAGCCUAAUAUUGUAGAGUGCAUAUUCAUUGGGUACUCCACAACUCAGAAAGGUUACAAGUGCUAUAACCUUUGUGUCUCGAUAUGUCAAAUUUGAUGAAGACAAAGGCUUCUAUGAAGAAAAUGACUGGGACAUGCUGAAGGACUUGACUACCUCUCACUCUGAUCUUGCUUCCAACCUGCGAUAUCUCCUUGAAAAUCUCAAACUUCCUAAGAGAACAGAAGCUACUCCACAAUCCGGAGAAGAACCUGACAAUGGUAAAACAGAUAUGGACAUUGAUCAAGAUAAAUCAGGAAAGGGACACAGAAGCAGUAACAGGUCAUGAAGACAGCUAGACCCAGAGUGACGCAAAUUCCCAAGACUCCUCUAAAGAUUCUGAUGCUAAAGAAGACAAUGAAACCUCGACUGAUCCUAACGAUCACGAAGACACUAGUCAAAACGAUGAGGAAGAUUCUGAUGCAUUUGAUGAUGUCCAAAACUUGGAGACAGCCAUUCUAGGAGGUUACGGUGUGGAGGUUCGGAUUUUCGUUUGCGGAAGCGGUGGCGGCGACUCUGAUGGUCGCAUGGUUUUUGCGAUUAGGGUUCUUUGUGUCUCCCGGUUUAACCGAUUUGGCAAUCUUUGGUUUUUGGUUUAAUUCUUAACUGGGCUUUAUGAGGAUUUGCGGUUUGGGAUUUUUUCCAGGUUUUUUAGUUUCUCCUUCUGGGCAUUUAGAUUUAAUUUUAAGUAUAUUUUUAAUUUUAAUUUUUUUAAAAAAAAAUCAAAAAAUCCAAAGACGUUUUAACAAAAAUAAUAAUAAUAAUAAUAGUUAUGGUAUUUUAAUUUUUAAACUUAUGUAGAAUCCCUAAGGCAUUGUGAUUAAUUAAGAUGAAGUAUGAAGAGAUACUUGUUUUGUAUUAGAAUCCAUUAUAAUCUCUUAAUAUUUUCUUGUAAAUUUGAGAAUCAUAACUUUCUUUAGACAAAACUAUGGUAUUAUUUUGAUGAAUUUAAAACAACACAAACAUCAAAGCUGAUCUGAAAUUGUUUUGAUUUAAAGAAAAAUCUACUAAAAAAAUUCUAAUGAAAUACACCCAAAAAUGUUUUUAAAAUAAAAUUAUGGAUUUUAACUUUCACCCGAGACUGAAGAACACCACCAUAACAUUUUGUACUUUUACCAUAUCCUUAUCUAAACUGAUUCUUCAGGAUAUUUGGGUUGCACGUCAAAGGCUAUGCAGUAUUAAAACCUCUAGCAACACCACGACAAAGUGUUGGAUGUCCAAUAUUUUUCUUUCACAUUGUUGUUGCUAAUAAAAAACAUGCAAACUAUAAAAAUUGUUAUUACCAACAUAACUCUCAUUUUUGUUUGCAAAUUAGUCACGAAAAUUCAUGUUUUUAAGUAUCUUGUGUUGAUAUAUUUAUAGAGAGAGAGAUAAAGCACUACUUUUUAUCAAGGCCAGGUUGUAAAUUUUGGUAGUGGUUCAUUAUAUUAACGAUGGUUUAUAAAUGACAGAUGAUGAUUAUUUUUACUAUAAAUAUCUAAGUAUAAAUUGAUAGAAUAUUUGUUGAUUUCGCAUAUAUUUAGAAUUUCAUUAGUCUACGUGCGACAUAUAACAAGACUUUUAAAACUGGGAAUAAAAGUUAAACCUUAAGUUUUGAGUUUUGGGUUUUUUUUUUUUUUUUAAAGUUAGCCUUUAAACAAUACACAGAUUUAGAAAUAUAGAAACGUAAUUGUAUAAUUGACCAAAAACUAGAGGAAUAUUAUAAAUUUGUUGGAAAAUAGUUAAACGUAAAUAAAAAUAUUUUGGGAUUUGAUUUUUUUACAUAAUUUAUUAUAUAAAAAUUAAGUUUUAUUAAUACAAAGUAUGUAUCCUAAACAAUAUUGAUAUAAAUCCAUACAAAGUCAUUCAUCCACACAAAUCUAUUCAAAAAUGCCGAAGAUGCAUAGCUUUUGGAUCUCUUUGGUGAUUAUCCUAAAGUUUUGGAUAUCCCCAACAAAUUCCAUUGUUUUCUAUAAACCUCACAAGACAACCUGAUUUUUAUUUGGUUGAGAUGUCGAUAUUUGGUGGAACAUACGUUGAAUAAGUGAAAGUGAGUUCAGCUUGAGAAUACUCUAAAAGAAACACAGAGACUUCUGUUUUUGUAGAAUCAUCAUCCUAGUAAACCUUGAACAAGCAAUCAAGUUGGCUAUUAUCAUCAACAACUUCAAAAAAUUACUAAAUAUGCCAAAUUUCUUCAAGAUUGGCUGCCUCUAUGUAGUUUUCAGAUAGUAUUGAACCAUAUCACGAAGAAGUCGAACUUCAUAUUCAACAAAGAUGGCAAACACCUGCCUUUGAUUCCAAAUCUAACAAAAAAGAUCCCAAACUCACCAAGAAAAGAAACUGAAGAAAAUGGAAUAUAUAUAUAUAUAUAUAUAUUGAUAAAAAGUGGAAUUUUAGCUGUGUGAACAUUGUACAAUCCACAAUCCUGAACAAGAGAAAUGCACCUGAAAGCUAAGUGGAAAGACAAUCCGCGAGUGGAAACUCUAGAUCAAAUGUUCAAUUUUUGGGAGAAGAUAAGCCAUGUUGGUUAAACCCUAG
Molecule: long non-coding RNA, 3060 nt
Filed under: Eutrema salsugineum
Lineage: Eukaryota; Viridiplantae; Streptophyta; Magnoliopsida; Brassicales; Brassicaceae
Description: long non-coding RNA (ESAL_LNC001227)
Source: RNAcentral